CUCACACAAGCGGUGGAGCAUGUGGCUUAAUUCGAGGCAACGCGAAGAACCUUAUCCUGACUGACAUGAUUGGAUUAGCUCUGUGAAAGCAGAGUGACGCCUUCGGGUGGAACGAUCACAGGUGCUGCAUGGCUGUCGUCAGCUCGUGUCGUGAGAUGUCGGGUUAAGUCCUUCAACGAGCGAAACCCCUGUCUCUAGUUGCCAGCAUUCAGUUGGGGACUCUAGAGAGACCGCCGGCGUCAAGCCGGAGGAAGGCGGGGACGACGUCAAGUCAUCAUGCCCCUUAUGCCUAGGGCUGCACGCAUGCUACAAUGGCCGAUACAAAGGGCUGCGAUACCGUAAGGUGGAGCGAAUCCCAUAAAGUCGGUCUCAGUUCGGAUUGGGGUCUGCAACUCGACCCCAUGAAGUUGGAGUUGCUAGUAAUCGCAGAUCAGCAACGCUGCGGUGAAUACGUUCCCGGGCCUUGUACACACCGCCCGUCACGUCACGAAAGUCGGUAACACCCGAAGCCGGUGGCCUAACCGUAAGGAAGGAGCCGUCGAAGGUGGGAUCGGUGAUUGGGACGAAGUCGUAAGCAAGGU
This 581-nucleotide ribosomal RNA is filed under the name uncultured bacterium. RNAcentral describes it as "bacterial SSU rRNA". It matches the Rfam family "Bacterial small subunit ribosomal RNA", at positions 920 to 1497 of the family's 1533-position model. The record is from RNAcentral.